UUGAACGCUGGCGGCAGGCCUAACCCAUGCAAGUCGAACGGUAACAGGAAGAAGCUUGCUUCUUUGCUGACGAGUGGCGGACGGGUGAGUAAUGUCUGGGAAACUGCCUGAUGGAGGGGGAUAACUACUGGAAACGGUAGCUAAUACCGCAUAACGUCGCAAGACCAAAGAGGGGGACCUUCGGGCCUCUUGCCAUCGGAUGUGCCCAGAUGGGAUUAGCUAGUAGGUGGGGUAACGGCUCACCUAGGCGACGAUCCCUAGCUGGUCUGAGAGGAUGACCAGCCACACUGGAACUGAGACACGGUCCAGACUCCUACGGGAGGCAGCAGUGGGGAAUAUUGCACAAUGGGCGCAAGCCUGAUGCAGCCAUGCCGCGUGUAUGAAGAAGGCCUUCGGGUUGUAAAGUACUUUCAGCGGGGAGGAAGGGAGUAAAGUUAAUACCUUUGCUCAUUGACGUUACCCGCAGAAGAAGCACCGGCUAACUCCGUG
Molecule: ribosomal RNA, 489 nt
Filed under: uncultured bacterium
Lineage: Bacteria
Description: partial 16S ribosomal RNA
Rfam family: Bacterial small subunit ribosomal RNA
Source: RNAcentral